UUAGAGUUUGAUCCUGGCUCAGGAUUAGCGCUGGCGGCAUGCCUAAUACAUGCAAGUCGAACGGAAAAUAUAGAAGUGCUUGCACAUUUAUAUUUUUAGUGGCGAACGGGUGAGUAAUAUAUAGAUAACCUACCUUCCAGUUGGGGAUAACAGAGGGAAACUUCUGCUAAUACCGAAUAUGAUAAAGAAACACAAGUAAUUUUAUUGAAAGGGGCUCCAAAGCCUCGCUAGAAGAGGGGUCUAUAUCGCAUUAGCUAGUUGGUAAGAUAACAGCCUACCAAGGCGAUGAUGCGUAGCUGUACUGAGAGGUAGAACAGCCACAUUGGGACUGAGAUACGGCCCAAACUCCUACGGGAGGCAGCAGUAGGGAAUUUUCGGCAAUGGGGGGAACCCUGACCGAGCAAUGCCGCGUGAUUGAAGACGGUCUUCGGACUGUAAAGAUCUGUUAUUAGGGAAGAAUUUUUACUUUAGGAAAUGGAAGUAAAUUGACGGUGCCUAAUGAGGAAGCCCCGGCUAACUAUGUGCCAGCAGCCGCGGUAAUACAUAGGGGGCAAGCGUUAUCCGGAAUUAUUGGGCGUAAAGGGUACGUAGGCGGGCUUGCAAGUCUGAUUUGAAAGCACAUGGCUUAACCAUGUGAGGUAAUUAGAAACUACGAGUCUAGAGAGUGGUAGAGGUAAAUGGAAUUCCAAGUGGAGCGGUGAAAUGCGUAGAGAUUUGGAGGAACACCAGUGGCGAAGGCGGUUUACUGGGCCACAUCUGACGCUGAUGUACGAAAGCGUGGGGAGCAAACAGGAUUAGAUACCCUGGUAGUCCACGCCGUA
RNAcentral lists this ribosomal RNA (821 nucleotides) under uncultured bacterium. RNAcentral describes it as "bacterial SSU rRNA". It matches the Rfam family "Bacterial small subunit ribosomal RNA", at positions 1 to 804 of the family's 1533-position model. The record is from RNAcentral.